RNAcentral lists this ribosomal RNA (363 nucleotides) under uncultured bacterium. Its description in RNAcentral is "SSU rRNA". It matches the Rfam family "Bacterial small subunit ribosomal RNA", at positions 195 to 553 of the family's 1533-position model. The record is from RNAcentral.
GGGGAUCGAAAGACCUUGUGCUUUUGGAGCGGCCGAUGUCUGAUUAGCUAGUUGGUGGGGUAAGGGCCUACCAAGGCGACGAUCAGUAGUUGGUCUGAGAGGACGACCAGCCACACUGGGACUGAGACACGGCCCAGACUCCUACGGGAGGCAGCAGUGGGGAAUUUUGGACAAUGGGCGCAAGCCUGAUCCAGCCAUGCCGCGUGAGUGAAGAAGGCCUUCGGGUUGUAAAGCUCUUUCAGUCGAGAAGAAAAGGUUGCGGCUAAUAACUGCAAUUCAUGACGGUAUCGACAGAAGAAGCACCGGCUAACUACGUGCCAGCAGCCGCGGUAAUACGUAGGGUGCGAGCGUUAAUCGGAAUUA